This is a long non-coding RNA of Solanum dulcamara, 318 nucleotides long. RefSeq lists it as uncharacterized. The transcript is spliced from 2 exons. The record is from RefSeq and is a predicted model, not a curated record. NCBI's taxonomy places the organism in Eukaryota, Viridiplantae, Streptophyta, Magnoliopsida, Solanales, Solanaceae.
AUGGGUGUCAUUGGACUCAUUGUGACGUGUAUGUUUCAUUGUUGAUAGUGGGUUGUCAUUCCGAGCGCUGAAUUCGAGAGUUACUUGUUCGGUGGAGGUAUUCGAGUGCGGUUUCGGCAAUUGAGAUACUAGUCGGGGUACCCCACGUGGCAGUUAAUAUUCUAGCGGAUUGUGUAUUCUCAGAUUAGUGGUGAGGUCCCAGAAUUCGGAUCGUCACUAGUCUAUCUUUAUUUUUCAGUCUUUUGUACCAUUCAGAGACUUAUGUUGUAUCUUCAGAUUCGAACCUUGUAUUAGAUGCUCUUUAUACUUAUGACACCA